RNAcentral lists this ribosomal RNA (429 nucleotides) under uncultured archaeon. RNAcentral's name for it is "bacterial SSU rRNA". It matches the Rfam family "Archaeal small subunit ribosomal RNA", at positions 474 to 903 of the family's 1478-position model. The record is from RNAcentral.
UACCAGCUCUCCGAGUGGUGUGGAUAUUUAUUGGGCCUAAAGCAUCCGUAGCUGGCUGGACAAGUCCCCUGUUAAAUCCACCGAUUUAAUCGUUGGUGUGCGGGGGAUACUGUUCGGCUAGGGGACGGGAGAGGCAGACGGUAUUUUCGGGGUAGGGGUGAAAUCCUAUAAUCCCGGGAAGACCACCAGUGGCGAAGGCUGUCUGCUAGAACGCGCCCGACGGUGAGGGAUGAAAGCUGGGGGAGCGAACCGGAUUAGAUACCCGGGUAGUCCCAGCUGUAAACGAUGCAGGCUAGGUGUUUGGACGGCCACGUGCCGUUCUAGUGCCGCAGGGAAGCCGUUAAGCCUGCCGCCUGGGGAGUACGGCCGCAAGGCUGAAACUUAAAGGAAUUGGCGGGGGAGCACCACAAGGGGUGAAGCUUGCGGUUU